UGGCAAUGAUGAUUUCCCACUUCAGGUCCGUGUUUCUGAACCCUGAUUAUUUGGAAGUCCUGAGUGA
This 67-nucleotide small nucleolar RNA is filed under the name Salarias fasciatus (jewelled blenny). RNAcentral describes it as "Small nucleolar RNA SNORD18 (ENSSFAG00005023721.1)". It matches the Rfam family "Small nucleolar RNA SNORD18". Rfam says of the family: U18 is a member of the C/D class of snoRNA which contain the C (UGAUGA) and D (CUGA) box motifs. It is encoded in introns of ribosomal protein L1 in Xenopus and human, and in introns of elongation factor 1 beta in yeast. The record is from Rfam by way of RNAcentral. Lineage: Eukaryota; Metazoa; Chordata; Actinopteri; Blenniiformes; Blenniidae.